This 763-nucleotide ribosomal RNA is filed under the name Xiphinema duriense. RNAcentral describes it as "eukaryotic LSU rRNA". It matches the Rfam family "Eukaryotic large subunit ribosomal RNA", at positions 355 to 899 of the family's 3401-position model. Lineage: Eukaryota; Metazoa; Nematoda; Enoplea; Dorylaimida; Longidoridae. The record is from RNAcentral.
GAGGGAAAGUUGAAAAGAACUUUGAAGAGAGAGUUCAAAAGGGCGUGAAACCGCUUAGAAUAAAACGGACGGAACCGUCUGAAGCCCUCGGGAAUCAGUCGAACGACGCGCGAACGCGCUCGGGUAUAACGGAACGUAAAAGUCCGGCUCGAGUGGUCUAGUAGUUGCGUUCGUAAGGCGCAUUUCUCGAGGGUAAGCGUCGCGACCGAUGCGUACGGCCGGCGAGAUCGUCGGGUUGAGGGCGAAACCCUUCGCGGGUAUUCGUAACCAGCCCGGCGGUUUUGCGCCGGACCUAAUGCAUCGAGCGUCUAGCGAAUAUAUGCGUCGGCGAAUAUAUACGCGCUCGCACGAACGAUGGACAGUCGGCCGAUUGAUCGACGCCUGCUCGCAGGCGCUCGGUUAACGCGAGGUCGGUUUUCGAAGUCGUCGGCGACGUACCGACGUUUAGGCGUCCGCGGCGUCCGAGUCGGUCACCCGUCCGACCCGUCUUGAAACACGGACCAAGGAGUCUAACGUACGCGCGAGCUAAUGGGUGGAAAACCUAUAAGCGCAAUAAAAGUAAAAACCGUCUUCACGACGGUCGAGGUACGAUCCCGGAGUAAAAAAAAAUUACGGGCGCAGUACCGUCCCGUCCUGACCGCUUGUCGGUAGGGCGGAGACAGAGUGCAUACGUUGGGACCCGAAAGAUGGUGAACUAUGCCUGAGCAGAGCGAAGCCAGAGGAAACUCUGGUGGAGGUUCGUAGCGGUUCUGACGUGCAAAUC